AUUCGGUUUACACGAUGCUUUAAGCUUCGGAUACACGAGCAAUAUUUUUGCUGCGAUGGUUACGCAAUGGGUGAUAACAGCAUUGCGUUGCCGUCGCACAAGGUGGCUACACCUGCAAUAUUUCGCCUGCAAUAUAUGUCUUCAUAACGCUUUUCAUUGGCUGGUCAAGAAACGUGUCAUUCAUCAACCUUGACCUUCCUUGACCACACCUCCCAAUUUUCGGCAAUCAUUGCCGAAAAUCAAAUGAUUUGAAAUUUCGGCAACGAUUGCGCGCAGCUUUGCGUUGCCGUCGCAGAGCAUGAUACACAAGCAAUUUCUUUCUCGCUACGGCAAUGCGACGAUUUUACCACCAUUGCAUUGCCAUCGCCAGAAAAGUAUUGCCCGUGUAUCCGUAGCUUUAAACGCGACGCCAUGUUUGUGCAGUGUUUCCACCAUGAUAAAAUUUCCUUCCUAUUCGC
Molecule: long non-coding RNA, 458 nt
Filed under: Paramuricea clavata
Lineage: Eukaryota; Metazoa; Cnidaria; Anthozoa; Malacalcyonacea; Plexauridae
Source: RNAcentral